RNAcentral lists this transfer RNA (83 nucleotides) under Desulfobulbus propionicus DSM 2032. It matches the Rfam family "tRNA". From Rfam's summary of the family: Transfer RNA (tRNA) molecules are approximately 80 nucleotides in length. Their secondary structure includes four short double-helical elements and three loops (D, anti-codon, and T loops). Lineage: Bacteria; Pseudomonadati; Thermodesulfobacteriota; Desulfobulbia; Desulfobulbales; Desulfobulbaceae. The record is from Rfam by way of RNAcentral.
GCCCGGAUGGCGGAACUGGUAGACGCAAGGGACUUAAAAUCCCUCGGCCUUUGGCUGUACGAGUUCGAUUCUCGUUCCGGGUA